GAUGAAGAACGUAGCGAAACGCGAUAAGUAAUGUGAAUUGCAGAAUCCAGUGAAUCAUCGAAUCUUUGAACGCACAUUGCGCCCGCCAGCAUUCUGGCGGGCAUGCCUGUUCGAGCGUCAUUUCAACCCUCGACCUCCCCUUGGGGAGGUCGGCGUUGGGGACCGGCAGCACACCGCCGGCCCUGAAAUGGAGUGGCGGCCCGUCCGCGGCGACCUCUGCGCAAUAAUACAGCUCGCACCGGGACCCCGACGCGGCCACGCCGUAAAACACCCAACUUCUGAACGUUGACCUCGAAUCAGGUAGGACUACCCGCUGAACUUAAGCAUAUCAAUAAGCGGAGGA
This 343-nucleotide unclassified non-coding RNA is filed under the name soil metagenome. RNAcentral describes it as "partial contains 5.8S ribosomal RNA, internal transcribed spacer 2, and large subunit ribosomal RNA". The stretch from base 1 to 120 matches the Rfam family "5.8S ribosomal RNA", at positions 35 to 154 of the family's 154-position model. The record is from RNAcentral.